CGACAGAUAAGGAGCUUGCUCCUUUGACGUUAGCGGCGGACGGGUGAGUAACACGUGGAUAACCUACCUAUAAGACUGGGAUAACUUCGGGAAACCGGAGCUAAUACCGGAUAACAUAUUGAACCGCAUGGUUCAAUAGUGAAAGGCGGCUUUGCUGUCACUUAUAGAUGGAUCCGCGCCGUAUUAGCUAGUUGGUAAGGUAACGGCUUACCAAGGCAACGAUACGUAGCCGACCUGAGAGGGUGAUCGGCCACACUGGAACUGAGACACGGUCCAGACUCCUACGGGAGGCAGCAGUAGGGAAUCUUCCGCAAUGGGCGAAAGCCUGACGGAGCAACGCCGCGUGAGUGAUGAAGGUYUUCGGAUCGUAAAAMUCUGUUAUCAGGGAAGAACAAAUGUGUAAGUAACUGUGCACAUCUUGACGGUACCUGAUCAGAAAGCCACGGCUAACUACGUGCCAGCAGCCGCGGUAAUACGUAGGUGGCAAGCGUUAUCCGGAAUUAUUGGGCGUAAAGCGCGCGUAGGCGGUUUUUUAAGUCUGAUGUGAAAGCCCACGGCUCAACCGUGGAGGGUCAUUGGAAACUGGAAAACUUGAGUGCAGAAGAGGAAAGUGGAAUUCCAUGUGUAGCGGUGAAAUGCGCAGAGAUAUGGAGGAACACCAGUGGCGAAGGCGACUUUCUGGUCUGUAACUGACGCUGAUGUGCGAAAGCGUGGGGAUCAAACAGGAUUAGAUACCCUGGUAGUCCACGCCGUAAACGAUGAGUGCUAAGUGUUAGGGGGUUUCCGCCCCUUAGUGCUGCAGCUAACGCAUUAAGCACUCCGCCUGGGGAGUACGACCGCAAGGUUGAAACUCAAAGGAAUUGACGGGGACCCGCACAAGCGGUGGAGCAUGUGGUUUAAUUCGAAGCAACGCGAAGAACCUUACCAAAUCUUGACAUCCUUUGACCGCUCUAGAGAUAGAGUUUUCCCCUUCGGGGGACAAAGUGACAGGUGGUGCAUGGUUGUCGUCAGCUCGUGUCGUGAAGAKGUUGGGUUAAGUCCCGCAACGAGCGCAACCCUUAAGCUUAGUUGCCAUCAUUAAGUUGGGCACUCUAAGUUGACUGCCGGUGACAAACCGGAGGAAGGUGGGGAUGACGUCAAAUCAUCAUGCCCCUUAUGAUUUGGGCUACACACGUGCUACAAUGGACAAUACAAAGGGCAGCUAAACCGCGAGGUCAAGCAAAUCCCAUAAAGUUGUUCUCAGUUCGGAUUGUAGUCUGCAACUCGACUACAUGAAGCUGGAAUCGCUAGUAAUCGUAGAUCAGCAUGCUACGGUGAAUACGUUCCCGGGUCUUGUACACACCGCCCGUCACACCACGAGAGUUUGUAACACCCGAAGCCGGUGGAGUAACCAUUUAUG
Molecule: ribosomal RNA, 1399 nt
Filed under: Staphylococcus warneri
Lineage: Bacteria; Bacillati; Bacillota; Bacilli; Caryophanales; Staphylococcaceae
Description: bacterial SSU rRNA
Rfam family: Bacterial small subunit ribosomal RNA
Source: RNAcentral